AUUGAACGCUGGCGGCACGCUUUACACAUGCAAGUCGAACGGCAGCGCGGGCUUCGGCCUGGCGGCGAGUGGCGAACGGGUGAGUAAUGCAUCGGAACGUGCCCAGUAGUGGGGGAUAGCCCAGCGAAAGCCGGAUUAAUACCGCAUACGACCUGAGGGUGAAAGCGGGGGACCGAAAGGCCUCGCGCUAUUGGAGCGGCCGAUGUCGGAUUAGCUAGUUGGUGGGGUAAAGGCUUACCAAGGCGACGAUCCGUAGCUGGUCUGAGAGGACGACCAGCCACACUGGGACUGAGACACGGCCCAGACUCCUACGGGAGGCAGCAGUGGGGAAUUUUGGACAAUGGGGGCAACCCUGAUCCAGCCAUGCCGCGUGCGGGAAGAAGGCCUUCGGGUUGUAAACCGCUUUUGUUCGGGAAGAAAUCCUCUGGGCUAAUACCCCGGGGGGAUGACGGUACCGGAAGAAUAAGCACCGGCUAACUACGUG
RNAcentral lists this ribosomal RNA (484 nucleotides) under uncultured bacterium. Its description in RNAcentral is "partial 16S ribosomal RNA". It matches the Rfam family "Bacterial small subunit ribosomal RNA", at positions 29 to 507 of the family's 1533-position model. The record is from RNAcentral.